This 253-nucleotide ribosomal RNA is filed under the name uncultured bacterium. RNAcentral's name for it is "partial 16S ribosomal RNA". It matches the Rfam family "Bacterial small subunit ribosomal RNA", at positions 524 to 776 of the family's 1533-position model. The record is from RNAcentral.
UACAGAGGUCUCAACCGUUGUUCGGAUUCAUUGGGCGUAAAGGGUGCGUAGGCGGGUCUUUAAGUCAGGGGUGAAAUCCUGGAGCUCAACUCCAGAACUGCCUUUGAUACUGAAGAUCUUGAGUUCGGGAGAGGUGAGUGGAACUGCGAGUGUAGAGGUGAAAUUCGUAGAUAUUCGCAAGAACACCAGUGGCGAAGGCGGCUCACUGGCCCGAUACUGACGCUGAGGCACGAAAGCGUGGGGAGCAAACAGG